This 447-nucleotide ribosomal RNA is filed under the name uncultured bacterium. RNAcentral describes it as "partial 16S ribosomal RNA". It matches the Rfam family "Bacterial small subunit ribosomal RNA", at positions 330 to 793 of the family's 1533-position model. The record is from RNAcentral.
UCCAGACUCCUACGGGAGGCAGCAGUGGGGGAUAUUGCACAAUGGGGGGAACCCUGAUGCAGCGACGCCGCGUGGGUGAAGGAGUAUUUCGAUAUGUAAAGCCCUAUCGGCAGGGAAGAAGCAAGACGGUACCUGACUAAGAAGCCCCGGCUAACUACGUGCCAGCAGCCGCGGUAAUACGUAGGGGGCGAGCGUUAUCCGGAUUCACUGGGUGUAAAGGGAGCGUAGACGGCCAAGCAAGCCAGGGGUGAAAGCCCGGGGCCCAACCCCGGGACUGCCCUUGGAACUGCUUGGCUGGAGUGCGGGAGGGGCAGGCGGAAUUCCUGGUGUAGCGGUGAAAUGCGUAGAUAUCAGGAGGAACACCGGCGGCGAAGGCGGCCUGCUGGACCGUAACUGACGUUGAGGCUCGAAAGCGUGGGGAGCAAACAGGAUUAGAUACCCCCGUAA